This 887-nucleotide long non-coding RNA is filed under the name Callithrix jacchus (white-tufted-ear marmoset). RNAcentral describes it as "lncRNA (ENSCJAG00000059148.2)". Lineage: Eukaryota; Metazoa; Chordata; Mammalia; Primates; Cebidae. The record is from RNAcentral.
UUGGGAUCGCUUUUCCCCUUUAGACUGCAACUGCAGUAUUUCUGUGUAGCUUAGUUACUUUGCAUGAGAAAAUUCCAGCUGAUGACUUUAUCUACAAGGCACAAAAUCACAUUAUACAUCAGCUGUAAAUAUUGUGAAGUCAAACAACUUUUAUUUGAUUUAUCCACAGUAGGAGAAAAGAGAAACACAUGUCUAAAGUGAUUCUUUGGAGUUAAUAUCAGAAGUGCCAGAAGAUCAUCUAAUAUGCAGUUCAUCAUGUAGUGAUUUGAACAGCAUUUGGGAGCCUCAUGUGACUUCAUUGAAGGAACACCUAUAAACAAACACUGCUUAAAGUGUUUUGCCUAUGAGCUAACAAUGUCAGUGAUGUCUACAGAGAGCUAAAGCCACUCGAAGAAUCCACAGCAACUUCUUUUGGUCAGUGAACACAGGGUGAAAUUCAACAGAACUGCUUUACAGUGAAGGUCUUGAAGCCCACAAGAAACAUUCUUCUGGACAAAUUAUCGGGAGGUCAAGAGAAGAAUGCAUUUGCCAGACCAAUAGCUGCAUAUCAAGUGCCAGAGGAUGUGGUAAAUUGCUCAAGCAAUGAAACCGGUUCUGGUACCGGAGCUGCAAUUGGCAUCACCACCUGGGACUUUGCCAACAAUGUUGAACAGAGUGGUCUAAAUAUCUGUUGCCUGGCUACUCGUGUUGUUUUGCCAAAUAUUUGGGCCUCCGUGUGUUUUGAUUUUGCUCAGAUGGGCGAAGGGGAUCAGAUGGAUUUGAGAACUGUGUCUCUCUUGAGUCUACAAGAGUCCUCGGGAGAUCAGAAGAAAAACAGCCUGCUCAUUUCUGGGAAUACAAAGUUCCAGAAAAACAGGCUACAUGGUACUAACAAAGGCAGCCUUGCU